AGAGUUUGGUCAUGGCUCAGAUUGAACGCUGGCGGCAGGCCUAACACAUGCAAGUCGAACGGUAACAGGAAGCAGCUUGCUGCUUCGCUGACGAGUGGCGGACGGGUGAGUAAUGUCUGGGAAGCUGCCUGAUGGAGGGGGAUAACUACUGGAAACGGUAGCUAAUACCGCAUAAUGUCGCAAGACCAAAGAGGGGGACCUUCGGGCCUCUUGCCAUCGGGUGUGCCCAGAUGGGAUUAGCUUGUUGGUGGGGUAACGGCUCACCAAGGCGACGAUCCCUAGCUGGUCUGAGAGGAUGACCAGCCACACUGGAACUGAGACACGGUCCAGACUCCUACGGGAGGCAGCAGUGGGGAAUAUUGCACAAUGGGCGCAAGCCUGAUGCAGCCAUGCCGCGUGUAUGAAGAAGGCCUUCGGGUUGUAAAGUACUUUCAGCGGGGAGGAAGGGAGUAAAGUUAAUACCCUUGCUCAUUGACGUUACCCGCAGAAGAAGCACCGGCUAACUCCGUGCCAGCAGCCGCGGUAAUACGGAGGGUGCAAGCGUUAAUCGGAAUUACUGGGCGUAAAGCGCACGCAGGCGGUUUGUUAAGUCAGAUGUGAAAUCCCCGGGCUCAACCUGGGAACUGCAUCUGAUACUGGCAAGCUUGAGUCUCGUAGAGGGGGGUAGAAUUCCAGGUGUAGCGGUGAAAUGCGUAGAGAUCUGGAGGAAUACCGGUGGCGAAGGCGGCCCCCUGGACGAAGACUGACGCUCAGGUGCGAAAGCGUGGGGAGCAAACAGGAUUAGAUACCCUGGUAGUCCACGCCGUAAACGAUGUCGACUUGGAGGUUGUGCCCUUGAGGCGUGGCUUCCGGAGCUAACGCGUUAAGUCGACCGCCUGGGGAGUACGGCCGCAAGGUUAAAACUCAAAUGAAUUGACGGGGGCCCGCACAAGCGGUGGAGCAUGUGGUUUAAUUCGAUGCAACGCGAAGAACCUUACCUGGUCUUGACAUCCACGGAAGUUUUCAGAGAUGAGAAUGUGCCUUCGGGAACCGUGAGACAGGUGCUGCAUGGCUGUCGUCAGCUCGUGUUGUGAAAUGUUGGGUUAAGUCCCGCAACGAGCGCAACCCUUAUCCUUUGUUGCCAGCGGUCCGGCCGGGAACUCAAAGGAGACUGCCAGUGAUAAACUGGAGGAAGGUGGGGAUGACGUCAAGUCAUCAUGGCCCUUACGACCAGGGCUACACACGUGCUACAAUGGCGCAUACAAAGAGAAGCGACCUCGCGAGAGCAAGCGGACCUCAUAAAGUGCGUCGUAGUCCGGAUUGGAGUCUGCAACUCGACUCCAUGAAGUCGGAAUCGCUAGUAAUCGUGGAUCAGAAUGCCACGGUGAAUACGUUCCCGGGCCUUGUACACACCGCCCGUCACACCAUGGGAGUGGGUUGCAAAAGAAGUAGGUAGCUUAACCUUCGGGAGGGCGCUUACCACUUUGUGAUUCAUGACUGGGGUGAAGUCGAACAAGGUAACCGUAGGGGAACCUGCGGUUG
This 1521-nucleotide ribosomal RNA is filed under the name metagenome. RNAcentral's name for it is "bacterial SSU rRNA". It matches the Rfam family "Bacterial small subunit ribosomal RNA". The record is from RNAcentral.